CGGACGGGUGAGUAACACGUUGGAACCUGCCCCAAAGUGAGGAAUAAGCCACCGAAAGGUGGUCUAAUACUUCAUAAUAUCCAUCUCGUACGGAUUAAAGCUUUAUGCGCUUUGGGAGGGGCCUGCGUAACAUUAGCUUGUUGGUGAGGGUAAAAGCUCACCAAGGCUUCGAUGUUUAACUGGUUUGAGAGGAUGACCAGUCACACUGGGACUGAGAUACGGCCCAGACUCCUACGGGAGGCAGCAGUAAGGAAUCUUCCACAAUGGGGCAACCCUGAUGGAGCAAUACCGCGUGCAGGAUGAAGCGUUUCGGCGUGUAAACUGCUUUUAUCACCGAAGAUUAUGACUGUAGGUGAAGAAUAAGGACCGGCUAACUACGUG
Molecule: ribosomal RNA, 381 nt
Filed under: uncultured bacterium
Lineage: Bacteria
Description: bacterial SSU rRNA
Rfam family: Bacterial small subunit ribosomal RNA
Source: RNAcentral